CAGGUGGCUCAGUGGUAAAGAAUCUGCCUGCCAACACAGGAGGCACAGGUUCAAUCCCUGAUCUGGGAUGAUCACACAUGCCAUGGUGUAAGCCUGUGCACCACUCCACAACUACUUAGGCUGUGCUCUAGAGCCCAGGAGCUGCAACUUCUGAGCCCUCAGGCCGCAACUACUAAAGCCCGAGAGCCCUAGAGCCUGUGCUCUGUAAUAAGAGAAGUCACCUGAACGAGAAGCCCAAGCACUGCAACUAGAGACUAGCCUUCACUUCCCACAACUAGAGAAGUCUUCACAGCACUGAAGACCCAGCACAACCAAUAAAUAAAUGAAUAUUUUUUAAAAAUAGAAAUGAAAGGAUUUAAAAAAGCUCAUCCUUAAUAGUAUGGAGUGGGGUGGGGUUAGUCACACACACACACACACACACACACACACACACAGACACACACACACAGUGUGAAUGUGGACAGUGCUCUAACUCUGUGCAGAAGGGAGUGGAGGAAGAGGCACUCCUAUCCAGCCUGUCACCUGUAUGUUCUUAGGAUGACAUCUGUGGAGGCGCCCAGUACGCUGUGAGGGCCAGCACAGUGUGGAAAGAGACUGUGGCAGGAUCCUCUGCAAGAGGACCGAGGUAUCCUGUAUUGACUGCUGUCACUCAGAUCCCACCACAUCGCUGGCUGGGGGCUUGGGGUCGUUAGAUGCACAGGAUGAUAAUACCAGAAAGAUUCCGGAACGAACUCUACUCGAACUUUGAGUUUCAGCUCCGGGGAGUUUGUCUGACAUGCAGUCACACACGUGGACACACACAUAUAUCCUGGCACACGGUAUGCACAGGCACCCAGGGAUCCCAGGGACAAUUAUAAUGAUAUAUUAUUAAAGGCCUUACAUAAACUCGAUGACUGAAUGGGACGAUCGGGAGAUGCAAGAAACCUAAGUGAACGGAAAGGGAGCUCGUCUAGCCUGAGGCUUUCCUGCCUCCGAGAGACUGAGGAUGUCAUCUGGAACUGGGUUCCUUUGCCAACAGAACCUACAUUUGUGAAUCUGCACAGAAGGGCUCAGAAGACUGGAGCUGGUAAACUUUUCAGGGUGGUGAUUCCAGCAGGAAGGCAAUGCUAG
RNAcentral lists this long non-coding RNA (1110 nucleotides) under Cervus hanglu yarkandensis (Yarkand deer). Its description in RNAcentral is "lncRNA (ENSCHYG00000001631.1)". The record is from RNAcentral. Lineage: Eukaryota; Metazoa; Chordata; Mammalia; Artiodactyla; Cervidae.